UUUAGGGUGGCAGAGCCCGGUUUAUGCAGAAGACCUAAGCUCUUCGACCCAGAAGUUCAAAUCCUCUCCCUAAAA
This 75-nucleotide transfer RNA is filed under the name Phyllodactylus unctus (San Lucan gecko). Its description in RNAcentral is "tRNA-Leu". Lineage: Eukaryota; Metazoa; Chordata; Lepidosauria; Squamata; Phyllodactylidae. The record is from RNAcentral.